UGCGGCACUAGCGCGGUGGUCCCACCUGACCCCAUGCCGAACUCAGAAGUGAAACGCCGUAGCGCCGAUGGUAGUGUGGGGUCUCCCAUGCGAGAGUAGGGAACUGCCAGGCU
Molecule: ribosomal RNA, 113 nt
Filed under: Budvicia aquatica
Lineage: Bacteria; Pseudomonadati; Pseudomonadota; Gammaproteobacteria; Enterobacterales; Budviciaceae
Source: RNAcentral